UAAUACGUAGGGUGCGAGCGUUGUCCGGAAUUAUUGGGCGUAAAGAGCUCGUAGGCGGUUUGUUGCGUCGACUGUGAAAACCUGGGGCUUAACUCUGGGCUUGCAGUCGAUACGGGCAGACUUGAGUUCGGUAGGGGAGACUGGAAUUCCUGGUGUAGCGGUGAAAUGCGCAGAUAUCAGGAGGAACACCGGUGGCGAAGGCGGGUCUCUGGGCCGAUACUGACGCUGAGGAGCGAAAGCGUGGGGAGCGAACAGGAUUAGAUACCCUGGUAGUCCACGCUGUAAACGUUGGGCGCUAGGUGUGGGGGACAUUCACGUUCUCCGUGCCGUAGCUAACGCAUUAAGCGCCCCGCCUGGGGAGUACGGCCGCAAGGCUA
RNAcentral lists this ribosomal RNA (377 nucleotides) under uncultured bacterium. Its description in RNAcentral is "bacterial SSU rRNA". It matches the Rfam family "Bacterial small subunit ribosomal RNA", at positions 521 to 896 of the family's 1533-position model. The record is from RNAcentral.